RNAcentral lists this microRNA precursor (101 nucleotides) under Marmota monax (woodchuck). Lineage: Eukaryota; Metazoa; Chordata; Mammalia; Rodentia; Sciuridae. The record is from RNAcentral.
AGUGGGAUAACUGGGUCAAAUGGUGGUUCCAUUCCAAGUUCUUAGGAAUCCCUAUACUGCUUUCCAGAGUGGUUGCACCAAUUUGCAUUUCCACCAGCAAU